CGCAUAGCACUCAAGAUCCGCUUAUGGACGAAUUCGGUGUAUACGAAAGUUAUUCUAAAGCCAUGUUGGGCAAGCUUGUGAGAAAAGAACAAGAGGGGUUUCACAUGACCUUGGGCUGGAAAAGUGGAUCCUUCAAGAGUUCAAGGUGAAUAAAAGUUUGCUGCUAGGCAAGGAAGGAGAAGGUCCUCGAAAAUAUGAAAUGAUGCAGAAAUCAUCUUGGUACUGCGCGUUUUAUAGAACUUUAUUUUCUUUGAUAAUGAGAUUAAUAGCUAUCAUAUCAAGAUAGCUUUCAGUAGUAAUGGCUAUUAUGUUAUAACUUGCAGGUAAACUUAAUUAUUGACUAGUGUAGUUCUAGCGUUGAUUUUUCAUGUAAUUAGUUUUUGUAUGAUGUGGGACUUUAGUGAUUAAAAAUAAUAGGUAUUAUUAGGUUAA
Humulus lupulus (European hop) is the source of this 432-nucleotide long non-coding RNA. RefSeq lists it as uncharacterized. Lineage: Eukaryota; Viridiplantae; Streptophyta; Magnoliopsida; Rosales; Cannabaceae. The record is from RefSeq and is a predicted model, not a curated record. The transcript has 2 exons.